This 327-nucleotide ribosomal RNA is filed under the name Mesocoelium sociale. RNAcentral describes it as "partial large subunit ribosomal RNA". It matches the Rfam family "Eukaryotic large subunit ribosomal RNA", at positions 41 to 338 of the family's 3401-position model. Lineage: Eukaryota; Metazoa; Platyhelminthes; Trematoda; Plagiorchiida; Brachycoeliidae. The record is from RNAcentral.
UAUCACUAAGCGGAGGAAAAGAAACUAACAAGGAUUCCCCCAGUAACGGCGAGUGAACAGGGAAAAGCCCAGCACCAGAAGCCUGUGGCCAUUUGGUUACUAGGCAAUGUGGUGUUUAGGUCGUUCCGCAGAUGCUCUGCUCCACCCUAAGUCCAUCAAUGAGUACGGUAGUAUGGACAUGGCCCAUAGAGGGUGAAAGGCCCGUGGGGGUGGAGAUUCGGCUGGUCAGAGUGUCUCUGGGUAGACCUUGGAGUCGGGUUGUUUGUGAAUGCAGCCCAAAGUGGGUGGUAAACUCCAUCCAAGGCUAAAUACUUGCACGAGUCCGAU